RNAcentral lists this long non-coding RNA (357 nucleotides) under Neodiprion lecontei (redheaded pine sawfly). RNAcentral's name for it is "uncharacterized LOC107219028". The record is from RNAcentral. Lineage: Eukaryota; Metazoa; Arthropoda; Insecta; Hymenoptera; Diprionidae.
UUCCGAAUCAAACUCCGAAAACAGACAUGGGGAAAUUGAUCAUGUUCUUGGUAUGUCUGGCUAUCCUCUCCCUGGUUCUGGGACAGCUAAACACGGAUAAAAUGCGUGAUUCAUUCCUUCAACUUGUUGAGGACGGGUGGAUGGAAGGUGAUGGAUCGAAUGAGUAGUCCAACGCUGGGACUUCUGGUCUCACAUCAAACCCAAAGACAACCGGAAACGUCGAGGAAAUGAAAACUUUCCAACGAUGACAUAUCACCCAGGCCAGGAUACCUUAGAAUAUAAUGUGUGUUUUUGUUGAAAUUUUUUGCUUACUCGCGUCAUUUAUUAUUGAUAACGAAUAAAUAUUCACUGUCUAUA